GAGUUUGAUCCUGGCUCAGGAUGAACGCUAGCUACAGGCUUAACACAUGCAAGUCGAGGGGCAGCGGGGGUGCAGGCUUGCCUGCACCUGCCGGCGACCGGCGCACGGGUGAGUAACACGUAUGGAACCUGCCCGCCACAGGGGGAUAACCCGGGGAAACCCGGCCUAAUACCCCAUGCCGCCCGGACCGGGCAUCCGGACCGGGCGAAAGGAGGAAUCCGGUGGCGGCUGGGCAUGCGGCGCAUUAGCUUGACGGCGGGGUAACGGCCCACCGUGGCGACGAUGCGUAGGGGUUCUGAGAGGAAGGCCCCCCACACUGGAACUGAGACACGGUCCAGACUCCUACGGGAGGCAGCAGUGAGGAAUAUUGGUCAAUGGGCGGAAGCCUGAACCAGCCAAGUCGCGUGAGGGAAUAAGGCCCUACGGGUCGUAAACCUCUUUUGCCGGGGAGCAAGGGCCGGGACGAGUCCCGGUCCGGAGAGUACCCGGAGAAAAAGCAUCGGCUAACUCCGUGCCAGCAGCCGCGGUAAUACGGAGGAUGCGAGCGUUAUCCGGAUUUAUUGGGUUUAAAGGGUGCGUAGGCGGGCUUUUAAGUCAGCGGUAAAAAUUCGGGGCUCAACCCCGUCCGGCCGUUGAAACUGGGGGCCUUGAGUGGGCGAGAAGAAGGCGGAAUGCGUGGU
RNAcentral lists this ribosomal RNA (680 nucleotides) under uncultured bacterium. RNAcentral describes it as "bacterial SSU rRNA". It matches the Rfam family "Bacterial small subunit ribosomal RNA", at positions 9 to 674 of the family's 1533-position model. The record is from RNAcentral.